GGCGGCAGGCUUAACACAUGCAAGUCGAGCGGGCGAGGUUGCUUCGGUAACUGAGCUAGCGGCGGACGGGUGAGUAAAGCUUAGGAAUCUGCCUAUUAGUGGGGGACAACAUUCCGAAAGGGAUGCUAAUACCGCAUACGUCCUACGGGAGAAAGCAGGGGAUCACUUGUGACCUUGCGCUAAUAGAUGAGCCUAAGUCGGAUUAGCUAGUUGGUGGGGUAAAGGCCUACCAAGGCGACGAUCUGUAGCGGGUCUGAGAGGAUGAUCCGCCACACUGGGACUGAGACACGGCCCAGACUCCUACGGGAGGCAGCAGUGGGGAAUAUUGGACAAUGGGGGGAACCCUGAUCCAGCCAUGCCGCGUGUGUGAAGAAGGCCUUUUGGUUGUAAAGCACUUUAAGUGGGGAGGAGGCUCUCUUGGUUAAUACCUGGGAAAAGUGGACGUUACCCACAGAAUAAGCACCGGCUAACUCUGUGCCAGCAGCCGCGGUAAUACAGAGGGUGCGAGCGGAGCG
This 515-nucleotide ribosomal RNA is filed under the name Acinetobacter sp. ACA7. Its description in RNAcentral is "bacterial SSU rRNA". It matches the Rfam family "Bacterial small subunit ribosomal RNA", at positions 38 to 540 of the family's 1533-position model. The record is from RNAcentral. Lineage: Bacteria; Pseudomonadati; Pseudomonadota; Gammaproteobacteria; Moraxellales; Moraxellaceae.